UGGGGAAAAUUCUUAUAAGCCAAGGUUUAUGAUCAUCAGGGAUAUGAUUUUUUUAGAAAAAUUGAGUUUAUAAUUAUUAUAGAUUGUGGUGCAAGUAGCAUUGAAGGAUAUAGGUGUAAUCAUAAGGAUUGCAUGUGUUAAAAAUUUUAAAAUUUAUAAGGUUAUGAUUUAUAGUCUCAAGCUAAAGUAGGCAUGAUGAAUUCAGACGUUCAAAGCG
This 217-nucleotide long non-coding RNA is filed under the name Elaeis guineensis (African oil palm). Its description in RNAcentral is "long non-coding RNA (EGUI_LNC079435)". Lineage: Eukaryota; Viridiplantae; Streptophyta; Magnoliopsida; Arecales; Arecaceae. The record is from RNAcentral.